CAAUCUUAGUGGCGGACGGGUGAGUAACGCGUGGGUAACCUGCCUUACACAGGGGGAUAACACCUGGAAACAGGUGCUAAUACCGCAUAAGCGCACAGGGCCGCAUGGCCCGGUGUGAAAAACUCCGGUGGUGUAAGAUGGACCCGCGUCUGAUUAGCUUGUUGGCGGGGUAACGGCCCACCAAGGCGACGAUCAGUAGCCGGCCUGAGAGGGUGGACGGCCACAUUGGGACUGAGACACGGCCCAGACUCCUACGGAAGGCAGCAG
Molecule: ribosomal RNA, 267 nt
Filed under: uncultured bacterium
Lineage: Bacteria
Description: partial 16S ribosomal RNA
Rfam family: Bacterial small subunit ribosomal RNA
Source: RNAcentral